This 404-nucleotide unclassified non-coding RNA is filed under the name Hevea brasiliensis (rubber tree). The record is from RNAcentral. Lineage: Eukaryota; Viridiplantae; Streptophyta; Magnoliopsida; Malpighiales; Euphorbiaceae.
AUAUUUAUUUUGCAGAGGAAUUUUCAAAUCAUUGAUAAGAUUGUAUCCUAACUACUCUCACGGCAAUUGGAUAAAUGCUAUUGUUGUUGCUGAUGGUCAAAGAAAAUUAUACAAUAUAAGACAUGAUGGUAAGUGUUAAUUUUAUAUUUGGUGCGUAAUUAUGACAUUAAAAUAAAUUAUUACGUUAUUGUCCGUUGUUAGAUAUAAUGUAAUGUUUUAUAAUAAUUUAUAUCUAGUUUUAGAUUAUUAUUCCGUAUUUUGCCCUUUUAACCUAAUUUUAAACAAAUUAAGUAAUUAGAUAUAUUUGAAUAGAAUUCUAUGAUAACUGAAUUUUAGUUAAACCUUAAAUCAAAUUGAAUUUUCACCUCCAAGAAUGUUCCUAAUUUGGCUUUAGAAUCAGGAUU